GUAAAAACAGAUCUCUCUUCUCCCCUUCGACCACCUCCUGAUACAAGAAGGCCAUGGACAUGGAGAUCGCGACUACCGGCGACGAAGUAGACUUCUUGUUGGAUCCAAUGGACAGCAGAUUUCCCCUGCCGGAUCUGGCCGGCGAAGAUCUGGUGCUCGCCCAUGGCAGAAGCCAAGCUGUAGUAUGCGAACCUGCUGAAUCCAGCAUUGGCGAAGCGGGGGACGCCGUACUAGCAGUGGAAAAUGACUUGAACAUCACAUGUCAGGGGAUUGCCCUCUCUGCUCCAGCCUCCGAGCAAUCUACGGGGAAAGACGACCCUCAAGCCCCUGCCUGGGCGAGAAGGGAAUUCCAAAGAAGGGUAACAAACGAACAUGCCGAUGCAGAUGCCCCGCAAUGAUACGAUUGCUCCGAUCAUCUGACAAUGGCUGGUACAUAACCUACUACAGAUCAGAUCACAACCAUGCUCUAACUGAAAGAUGUGGGGAAAAAGUGUACUGGCCUUCCCACAAACAUAUCGAUAUAUACACACGGGAUGUCAUUAAGCAACUCCGUGAAAAUAACAUCAGUGUCGGGAAAGUUUACAAUAUAAUUGGUAGCUUCUUCGGGUCAAUGACCAAUAUACCAUUCACCAAAAGAGCUCUCCGAGGUUUGUGUGGCAAGAUGAGUGGAGAACAAGCCGAUAAUGAUGUGAAAAAGACAAUGGAUGUUUUUGCAGAGUUGGGAGCAAAAGAUUCAGGCUUGUACUGCAGGGUGCAACCUGAUGUUUUUGCAGAGUUGGGAGGAAAAGAUUCGGAGUUGAGCUUGUCGGCGGCCGAUUCGCAGCUAUCAACAGCAAAAGAUGACCCGCAAGCCCCGGGUGGACAAAAAGGGUUCGUAUUGGACGAGCCCCUAUCGAACGUGCACCUUGUGCUGGACGAGUGUGUGCCCUUGAAAAAACAUUAAGUGGAUAUGCAGAGAACAAAACUCAUACCAUUGUGGUAUCAGUUGUUGGAUACAACUUCGAUUCAUUGGGAGAAGCAUACGACUUCUACAAUCUAUAUCCGUGGGAAAUUGGUUUCGGAAUCAAAUACGGAAAAAGCAAACUCAACGUCGAGAGAACCAAAUGUAUGCAAGAGAUAGUGCGUGGAUUCUCGGUGAGUGGAAAUUAAAUCCAUUAUCUCAUUCGUUGGAAUUGCCCUGCCGCGCCAACCUCGAAGCAAUCUACAGGCAAAGACGACCCUCAAGCCUUUGGCUGGACAAAAAGUGUCCGAGUCGGGCAUGCACCCGAUGACCGCCCCCCAUGUGCUGCCAGGACGAGUGCCCUCGAACAUUAAGAAGAUAUGCAGAAAAGAAAACUGAGACAGUCUGGUUUAUCAGCAGUACCUUCUUCAGAAAAAAUAACCAUCCCUGUGCAGUCUGAUUUAAUCCACUCUGAAUGCCGCAUUGUUCGUAUCGGCCAGGCACCUAUCGAGCGUGCAUCCUGCCCUGGUAGAGUAUGUGCACUUGAAAAAACAUUGAGAGGAUACGCACAGAGGAAAAUAGAUACCGUCGUAGUAUCUACUGUCGGAAGCAGCUUUGAUUCGUUGGGAGAGGCGUAUGACUACUACAAUCUAUAUUCAUGGGAGGUUGGAUUCGGAAUAAGAUAUGGAAAGAGUAGGCUCAACGUCGAGAGAACCAAAUGUAUGCAGGAGAUAGUAUGUGGAUACUCGGGCUAACCAAAAAGAGGUAAUACACGGACAUGCCGCUGUGAGUGCCCUGCGAUGAUACGUUUGCUGCGAUCAAAUGACAAUGCUUGGUACAUAAAUGAGCACAGGCCUUCACAACCAUUCUUUGAUAGGUAAGUGUGGUGAGAAGGUAUACUGGCCUUCCCAUAAACAUAUAGAUAUAUACACAAGACCUUGUGAGACAGCUUAGAGAGAACAAUAUCAGCAUCGGAAAAGUGUACAACAUAAUUGGUAGUUUCUUUGGGUUAAUGAGCAAUGUGCCUUUCACUAAGCGGGCUUUGAGGGGUUGGUCUGGUAAGGACAGCCGGGAUCCGGUGGAUAAUGAUGUCCGAAAUACGAUGGAGAUUUAUAUUGUGGUCAACUGGAGCAAGCAGGAUGCAAUACCAUUACUUCGGAGAAACAAAAGCACGACAUGUCCACGGAGGGCUGACCUCCCUCGAAGAAAAGGAAAGAAGCGAAAUGCUCAAUCUGUGGAGUGGGAAAGCAUUGGAAGAAUACCUAAAACAAUCCUAAGAUUAUGUUACAUCUUGCCGAGAAAGCUGCCCAUGAACGGGCUGUAGAAAUGUGAUUAAUCUGUAUAAGCAGCGACUAUCGCGUUUAUCACUGAAUUUGCACUGUUUUCCCUUGUAUGAUGAGUGAUUAGUAGCCAGCGGUGUGAAAUAAAUUAUGUAUUGUCAGCUUA
This is a long non-coding RNA of Triticum aestivum (bread wheat), 2386 nucleotides long. RefSeq lists it as uncharacterized. The record is from RefSeq and is a predicted model, not a curated record. The transcript has 6 exons. Lineage: Eukaryota; Viridiplantae; Streptophyta; Magnoliopsida; Poales; Poaceae.